GACUCCCAAGAGAUCCUCAAUUACCAUGGCUCAACUCUCGCAAUCAACUACCCACAUUGCUUUGACAGUCGAUCCGCCAUUUCAUCUCUAUUACAAGUCCUGUCCUCAGUUUACCACCAGCAACUCGCCGACACCGACCAAUCACCUAUCCAUUUCGGUAGGCAUGCAUGCAACAUAUUAACACCACACCGUGAUCUAUACAUGGUUUCUUUAAUUAAACCAUACCUGCCACGAC
This 235-nucleotide long non-coding RNA is filed under the name Ananas comosus (pineapple). RNAcentral's name for it is "long non-coding RNA (ACOM_LNC038025)". Lineage: Eukaryota; Viridiplantae; Streptophyta; Magnoliopsida; Poales; Bromeliaceae. The record is from RNAcentral.